GAGUCGGCGAGGCAGUUGCGUACCGAUUUGGUAUGAGGAAAGUCCGAGCAGCACAGAGCAGGAUAACGGCUAACGGCCGCCGAGGGUGACCUUAGGGAAAGUGCAACAGAAAUAAACCGCCUCGUAUGAGGUAAGGGUGGAAAGGCGAGGUAAGAGCUCACCGAGGAGGUGGAGACAUCUCCUGCCAUGUAAACCCUAUCCGCUGCAACAUCGACUAAAGGGUUGUUUGCUCGACACAUAACUUUGAAGGAUGGCUUGAGCGCAGGAGCAAUUCUGCGAGUAGAUAGAUAACUGCCGUAUACAGAACUCGGCUUAUUGCCGAC
RNAcentral lists this RNase P RNA (323 nucleotides) under uncultured Eubacterium sp. RNAcentral describes it as "Bacterial RNase P class A". It matches the Rfam family "Bacterial RNase P class A". From Rfam's summary of the family: Ribonuclease P (RNase P) is a ubiquitous endoribonuclease, found in archaea, bacteria and eukarya as well as chloroplasts and mitochondria. Its best characterised activity is the generation of mature 5'-ends of tRNAs by cleaving the 5'-leader elements of precursor-tRNAs. Lineage: Bacteria; Bacillati; Bacillota; Clostridia; Eubacteriales; Eubacteriaceae. The record is from RNAcentral.